Molecule: non-coding RNA, 290 nt
Organism: Rhizobium sp.
Lineage: Bacteria; Pseudomonadati; Pseudomonadota; Alphaproteobacteria; Hyphomicrobiales; Rhizobiaceae
Source: Rfam
CUUCCUCGAUCUGCUGCGGGCAGAUGUAGUGGAUAUGCGCGUCCAUGCCGCCGGCGGUCAGGAUCUUGCCCUCACCGGCAAUCGCUUCCGUGGAGGGACCGACGAUGAUCGUCACGCCCGGCUGUGUGUCCGGAUUGCCGGCCUUGCCGAUCGCAUGGAUGCGGCCGUCCUUGAGGCCGACGUCGGCCUUGUAGAUGCCGGUGUGGUCGACGAUCAGGGCAUUGGUGAUGACCGUGUCCACGGCACCCUCGGCGCGGGUCGCCUGGCUCUGGCCCAUGCCGUCGCGGAUG